GUGAGGGACAUUGUGGAGAGCGAAGAGAAGGGAAGGAAAACGCAGGGAUGUGCAUAUGUGUGUGUGUGUGUGUAGGCUAUUGUGCUUUUCCCGAGUGAACAUUUUACACCCGUCAGAAAUACAGCGAGUUUUUUUUCCAAUUUUGGUCAGAGAAUAGACGUAUUGCAGUCUUGGUUUUAGGGUUUUGGGGAAAAUGUGUUUGCACAAAAGCACACUUUUGCACACACUGCUGUCGUCAUUUGCUGUUUAAUUUCUCCCUAAGAGUCUAAUUCGACGGAAACAUGGCAAUUGAACGGGCGUCUAGUACUUGUAAGUAUGAUUAUAGUGACCAAUAGGCUACAGUAAUCGCACCUAAACUUGGUAAUGAUUGUGUGCAUGCGUUUUUUUUUACUUUGAUGGACUAUUGAUAGAUUUUUUUGCAUUCAAAUCGACGUUUUGUCAACGAUCUAAAUACCAAGCAAUAUGAAUUUAUGACAACAGUAGGCUACUUAAUCAACAUUCGGCUAUCUACAGCUUUGACUUCUAAGCGAGACUGUUAAUGUAUGCAUGGAGACAAUUAUAGGCUAAACGCAGCAUUUGACAACAGCGCCAUUAACAUAUAUAUUUUUUUUCAAUAGCGUCUCAGUAGCCUACUGGUUUAGAUGCGGACAGAUUGAAUAUUUAUAUUUAGGCUAGAGUUAUUGGUUGUGGUUGCCGGUCGCUCUUGCGGGCACGUGCAUACACAUUGAUCCUCACACACGCCUCAGCACGGACGCUGGAUGUACAUCAACCAAGACUCUUUUUUUGUGUGAUCAUCUUCCUCGUCAACUGUCAUCCCGAGCCAGCAGCUGAACAGUGCGGCAGUGGAGGGAUGGCACUUCUCUUUUUAAUUAUCCUAGUGUUCCCCUCCCUCACACCGGCCAAACACAAUACAACCACAGGCGGCUGUGCUAUCAUCCGUCCUCCCAGAGAUGGAGGGAUAAGGUACAGAGGACUGACCCAAGAGCAGAUCCGCAGUGUGCAGGUUCUCCCCGACUAUGAGAUUGAGUACAUCUGCAGAGGGA
Molecule: long non-coding RNA, 1043 nt
Organism: Oncorhynchus gorbuscha (pink salmon)
Lineage: Eukaryota; Metazoa; Chordata; Actinopteri; Salmoniformes; Salmonidae
Exons: 4
Source: RefSeq, a predicted model, not a curated record